Coregonus clupeaformis (lake whitefish) is the source of this 215-nucleotide long non-coding RNA. RefSeq lists it as uncharacterized. NCBI's taxonomy places the organism in Eukaryota, Metazoa, Chordata, Actinopteri, Salmoniformes, Salmonidae. The record is from RefSeq and is a predicted model, not a curated record. The transcript has 3 exons.
GCCCGGAAAAGUGUGCAGCCUGCAAGAUAGUGGUUCACACAAUCUGCAUAGAGCAGCUAGAAAAGAUAAACUUUAGGUGUAAACCGUCAUUCAGGGAAUCGGGGUCUAGGAAUAUACGAGAGCCAGUCCUCCAAAGACAAGGUGCUCUAAAGUGCCUCAGGCGGAUGGCUAACUGCAUGGCCACCCCUUUCCUGAGCCAGUCCCAGGUACCAUCC